Molecule: long non-coding RNA, 1145 nt
Organism: Daphnia carinata
Lineage: Eukaryota; Metazoa; Arthropoda; Branchiopoda; Diplostraca; Daphniidae
Exons: 4
Source: RefSeq, a predicted model, not a curated record
GUUAGUGUCGCCUCCGGCUUCAGCAUGCGUAGUCCAACCAAGAUGGGCGUAGUUAAACAUGGCGUAGGUAACAACUUCGUCCGUGACAAUGACGGCUUGGAAAGUGUUUGUCUAUAACCAGCUGACAUUCUUCCAGGUGGCAAUAAUGGCGUGUUUUGGAAAAAAGUUUGGUUCGGAAAAAGCCUCCCGAAUGUCCCACUUAAUUCUCUCUCUCAGUUUAACACCUGAUUCAUCGAAUCUAGCGGUUUAGUUGAACGAUGUUAACUGGUUUUAGCCUACCGAAAGUAAACACCAGGCGCCCUCUUGUCUUGAUCGCUCUCCUUCGCUCUACCAAUGCGCCAGCGACUGUAGAAAGGGCUGAUAAACGAUGGACCGUUAUCUACUGGCCAAGUUUGAACGGGGAACUGCAGGGGUGGCAAUGGGGGCGAUCCCAUUGGAUCACUGAAGCUGAGGAAACCAUGGAUAGAAAUCUGGUACGGGCAAAGUCAUAAUUCACUAAUUACUUGAUAAACUCAAUGCAGGUGACAAUGAGAUCAACUUACCCAUAUGGAAUCAAACUUCGAACCUGAGAAAGGAAGCCAGAAAUUGAGUUGCUUCUGAACUUGGGCGCUAUUGUCGUUGAUCUCCCUCACGCGAUCACCAUUUUCCCCGUUCGCGUCUUUGUCGUAAUACGGGUACAUGUUCUCUUUACGGAUUUCAUCUAGUUCCUCUUUCUUCAAAUCGUACGACUGUUGAGGUUGGUAGGCGGGGUCAUUUAAUUGGAGUUGCCUUUCAACUCGAGAAGGAGCCAAUCUGGAUGUCAUAAGAUCUUCAAAAUCCAAAUUUAAAAAGAAUUAGGAAAAAGAUAGAAUAUUGGUUUACCGUUGUUUAUUUUUGCCGAUUCGAUAUCAAAAUCGUCCUCACACGGGCCUUCCUGUUCGGAAGCAUUUGCAGUCAACAAGCAUGCGGCCAAAGCCACAAAAACAAAAAUCUUACAUCGAUUAUCCAUGGCCUUCAACUUCUGAGUUACUAACUGUUCACCAACUAGCCCUACUUGUAAAAUGAUCGAGUAUUUACAAGGAGAAAAUUUUUUUAGUAAUGACAUCCACAGCACUAAAAUUCUUAUCUGAAAAAAAAAAACUACAAUACACAACAGAAGAAAUGGA